CAACCCUUAAGCCUAGCUUAGUGUUGGGAGACUGCCUAAUACGCAGCUCCUCAAAACCAGUGGCGGAGUCUGUUCGUACUCUGAGCGUAGUAAUUUUUUAUCUCGCUUCUGCAAGCCGGCCAGACGACAGCCAUAAACCGCACCCUCUCGGGGGGCACUUUUUUAAG
Molecule: unclassified non-coding RNA, 167 nt
Filed under: Microdochium novae-zelandiae
Lineage: Eukaryota; Fungi; Ascomycota; Sordariomycetes; Xylariales; Microdochiaceae
Description: partial internal transcribed spacer 2
Source: RNAcentral